UUAAAACCCCUCUGGAGGCUCGCUAAUAUCAGGAGAGGGAUUAUUGCUAUGGCCCUCCCCUUCGCUCUCUCCACACUUGUCUAUUCCUCUGCUAUCAUUUAAAUGUCUGAGGAAUAAUUGAAUGAAUUAUCAUAAAAUUUUGACAAAUUCAUUGACUAGGCCGCCGCCGCGAGUGAGCGAGAGCAUUUUCUUUCAUUUUAGCUGUGCAAGACAUGACAUUUGAAAUUCGUUUAUAUGCGGCCAAGACCUUUCGCUGUUUCGCCAGUGGUCUGAAGAACAAAAAGAGAGCUCACCACAGAUGGACAGCCAGAGUCUUCCGUGAUGUCUAUGCUAGACAAAAGGACUGAGCCCGCCAUCGCCCCGGAGCCCAAGCCCCACAAAUUGUCUGACCAGGUGUGUGAGCUAGUGGAUUACGAGGGAAUGGAGGAAGACCACGCCCACACUCCCACUACUGAGGGUGAAAUCUUCAACCAGUCAGCUCCGCCUUGGCUCCUCCCUCCAUUGGCUCCACCUGGGACCAUAGAAAGAGGUGGCAAAUCCUAAUUUGGUUCAAAGCCUCAUAUUUGCAUCAUUCGUUUUGGACUCUUCCAAAUAGCUUGGUUCUACUGGGAUAUGUGUGAUCUCUUGAGAAGACCUAGAUACAAGAAACAAAGAACUCCUCUGCCUGAAGGAUCCAAGUCAAACCAAUCUGUUACAAGUAACAUUUCAUUAUCUCUUCAGAUACAAACCACAAGGUCCCGCAAAUAGAGGCCUAUUUUUCCGGCUCUGCUAAUAGAAUUGAAUUUCACAGAGUGUAACUUAAAUUAGACAUUCCAUAGCAGCCCUGAAUGGCAGAAAUAAUCGGCAUGGGUGACUAAUUUGGCAGAGCGUGCACUAAGUACACAAAUCCCCUUUUUUCCACCCCUCGCCCGAGGUUUGCGAAGAGCAGCACACAACCCACAGACAAAGGCAACACACGGCUCAUAAAAAUUAACAUAGUAAAUGACCUGGAGAGGAAGGCACAAUAAAUAAUCUGAUCUUAUCACCUCAGAGUAUGCGUGGCAUGGAACGGAGGCGUCCAAUGAAAAUAUCCUCGUUAAUCUUGCAUACCCUUGGAUAAACUUCUUCACAGGAAGCCAUUUCUCUGCAGAGUCUCUGGGGGUCGAGACAAGGUUGUCUGCUUCUACAAAUAAAAUUAUGUUUUUUUUGUUUUUUUUUUAUAUAAGUUAAACAAAAAUUGACCAUGGCUAAUUCAUUUAGGUUGCACGCCUUGAUUAUGUCAGUACAUUUAACAUGUAAAACUUUUUAAAGACUUCUGGCCUGACCACUACUUGACAGUAGGCUACUGUAUGGUGUCAUAUUUUACUUGAGCACUGUACAUUUUUACAGUUUUUUUUUCUUCAGUCAAUUAAAAGUUCAGUUGUUUUUUGUAUAUUGAAGGAAAUAUUCUUAAAAUGUAGUUAAUAGUUAACUUAAUAUUAUUGUAAUAUUAUGUUUGUGUUGUGUCUACAUGAUCUUCUGUAUAGGAUGCGUUUGGAUGAGUUAAUUAACCCGCUAACAAAUACAUCGUUCAUUCACUGUUCAGCUUCAGCUUUCUUGAGUAUAAAGCUUUUAACACAGUCCUUAAUCCUGGGUUAUUAUUGUUCUAAACCCUGCUUUUUAAACUUGUACAGUGUGAAACCAUGCAAUGUUAGAAUGUUGCGGUUAACUGCAUAGCAACCCACAACUAACUAAAAUUGAAUUGAAGAAAAGACCAUUUCAUUCUUACCUUUAUAGUCCGAAAAGUCCAGUUGGGAUAAACUUGAUAUAGUACAAUCGGCAAUAUAUAAUAUGAGGAUGCGCAACGCUAGAGCCUUUAUGUAAAUAAACUGUGUGUGCUGAUUGUCCAAUCAAUGACACUGACACCACAAAUAUGAAAUUAAGGACAUUAACCCAGGAUAUAGGAAUGUACAGUGUGAAACAACAGCUUAUGAAUACCCAGGAUUAAUUAUUAAUUGUUAUGAACAGUGUGAAACAUGAAGCAAGAUAACCCAGGAAAAUGUUUACCCAGGGUUAACUAUUUCAAGUGUGAAAAGUCCUUAUGAUGGCAUUAGUUUGACUAUAAUUGGAUAUUUGUUGUUGUUGUUCAAAAAGCAUUGUUAGUGCAUGGUUAAUAUCUUGUGAUGUUGUUUUCUCUUAUAUUUUUGUCAACAUUACAUUUUAAUUAAAAUCAUUGGUAACACUUUAUUUAAAGCCAUGUAAAAUGCAUUACAAAAGGUAUUCAUAAUGUACGUUAUAAUGCAUUAUAUAUUACAAUUAUUCAUGAGACCAUACAUUGCAUUAUAAGAUGCAUUACAAGGCAUAAUUAAUGCAUUAAAAAUACUUUUAUGAUGCAUUAUACAUGAAGGCUUUAAGUGUUACCAAAUCAUUUAAUUAUAAUCAUUUAAUCAUUUAAUAGCACUUUUUUUAGUUCUCUCUCUCUCUCUCUCUCUCUCUCACACACACACACACACACACACUAAUAACAAACACUUUUGUCAUUAAUUCUUUUGACGAGAUUAACAAUGCACUUGAACAAGUUAUCCAGUAUAUUUUGUGGUAAAUUGUGGGUCUGGAUGAAAACACAUGUAAAUGGAUGUUUUAGUAGGUCUAUUGUACUAACAUUAUGUGUGAGUUACUGCACCUCUGGGGGUGACACGAUUAUGCAAGAUCCAUUGCAAAAGCUUUACAGUGCUAAAUAUGUACUAGAAACCACCUGAGGAUGAAUGUCACAGAUCUCUAUCUCAAGCCCUUCACUUCUGUGUCCCGAUGCCCUCUGAGGAACUUCAAAAUAGAGAGGGCCGGGAUGGUUGUCCCCAUUGAGCAGGUCAUAUUCAGUACAGUAUUCAUGUCAGCCAGGAAUAUAUGUCAUUUGUCAGUGUUACGGAGGAGCUUUGAAUCAGAGCUGUAGCCUCAUAGCUGUGAAGGCCAGCAAAUAAAUCAUUCAGGAUACACAGCAACUCUCUCUCUUUCUUACAGACACACAGAAUAGCACAUAAACAAAGUGAUUUAGCGAUUUGAGCGCCCCACUUUUGGCUUACUGAAGGAGGAAGACAUGAGAAAGUUGUCAAAGCAGCACCUUGCUCACUUUGGCCAAGCCAUGGCCUUGAGUCUUUAGAUAAUUACAUUUCGUUGACUGACAGUUUGCUACAGAUGAUUGAUAAUAGCUUUAAUUUUCAAAAGGUGUUCUCCAUUUUUUUUUGUUCCGAGAUGAAAACAAGGUCUUGAUUUAUCUAGCAUUAUCUAGUUUCUCACAGUCAUGCUUCCUGUUUGUCAUGUGUUUCCCUUGCUCCUUAUAGGCUUGUUUGACUUCACGCAGCGCUGCACAGACUGACUGGCGGCUGUAUUAAAGCAUGCCGUUUCGAAAUUUUGUCUAACUUGAGACAGUGCAAAUGCCACAUGGCUGUGACGUACUUGUGGCAUCAAAGUACCGUGAGAGCGAUUCGAGAGCAGUCGGCUGAGUCAGCCAGUGGCUGCACUGGCUCUGACACAGCUGUUCCACGAUUGGCCGGAUUCACCGCAUGACAACAAUCACAUGUGUUUUGUGUUUAUUCUGAAACCUUCAGUUCCACUAAUGCUCACAAAUCUGUAUUUUGUACAGUAAAAGCUCUUUUCAUGUAGUCAUGAUGUUAUAUUGUGUCAUGUUUAUCAAAAUAAAACUGAUAAAAAAAUGUAUACCCCACUUCUUUGGUAUUUAAAGUAUAUGCUUAUGUUGAACAUUAUUCUUAUUCAAACAGACGCUGUAAGCAGUACAUAAAGUAUUGAAUGAAAAUGUCUCUGAAAUGUCUGUGUAUUUGACAAAUACUGCAUUUAUUUCACUUAAGCUGUGAUAAAGUAUGCAAACGCAGUGUAAGCGUCACUGCAGGAAGCAGAAAGUGUCCGACUUUAUGUCUCUGUUUUCAGGUCCUCCCUGAAUGCAAGUGGCAGCUCUUGCCAAUCGGUUGCAUCCAGCCGCAGCCAAUUUCGAACACACCUUAGCUGUGUCCCAAUUCAGAGGCCCCUUUCAUGCACUCCGAAGUGCGUAGCCCCUGAAUUGGGACACAGCUCUUAUGUUAUCCUGCCAUGUGCUCCCCGAUUUCCAUGUGUCUUGUUCUCAUUGGUUGGUCUAGUCAUGUGUCCUAUGUUCUCAUUGGUUCAUUGUUUGAUUAUGCACAGGUGUUCCUUGUUAGUCAUUAGUCUGUCUGUAUAAAUAGCCCUCAUGUUCUUGUUUCUUUGUCUAGUAUUUUUCUGUUUAACCCAAUGAUAGGUGAGUUUGUUUCAUGGUUAUGUUAUGUAAAGUCUUUGUUUAUCUUGUAUUUGUAUAUGUUUUUGGAUUAAAAUAAAUUGCACAUGGGUUCA
This is a long non-coding RNA of Ctenopharyngodon idella (grass carp), 4335 nucleotides long. RefSeq lists it as uncharacterized. The transcript is spliced from 3 exons. Lineage: Eukaryota; Metazoa; Chordata; Actinopteri; Cypriniformes; Xenocyprididae. The record is from RefSeq and is a predicted model, not a curated record.